AUCCCAUGAUGUGGGCAUUUCCGCAACAAUUCCUUGAACCUCUCCCACGUAUCGUAUAAUGUCUCUGACUCCAACUGAUAGAAGGAAGAGAUAUCGUUCCUCAUUUU
This is a small nucleolar RNA of Abrus precatorius (Indian licorice), 107 nucleotides long. The record is from RefSeq and is a predicted model, not a curated record. NCBI's taxonomy places the organism in Eukaryota, Viridiplantae, Streptophyta, Magnoliopsida, Fabales, Fabaceae.